This 464-nucleotide ribosomal RNA is filed under the name Vreelandella stevensii. Its description in RNAcentral is "partial 16S ribosomal RNA". It matches the Rfam family "Bacterial small subunit ribosomal RNA", at positions 338 to 795 of the family's 1533-position model. The record is from RNAcentral. Lineage: Bacteria; Pseudomonadati; Pseudomonadota; Gammaproteobacteria; Oceanospirillales; Halomonadaceae.
CCUACGGGUGGCUGCAGUGGGGAAUAUUGGACAAUGGGCGAAAGCCUGAUCCAGCCAUGCCGCGUGUGUGAAGAAGGCCUUCGGGUUGUAAAGCACUUUCAGUGGGGAAGAAAGCCUUGGGGCUAAUACCCUCGAGGAAGGACAUCACCCACAGAAGAAGCACCGGCUAACUCCGUGCCAGCAGCCGCGGUAAUACGGAGGGUGCGAGCGUUAAUCGGAAUUACUGGGCGUAAAGCGCGCGUAGGCGGUCUGAUAAGCCGGUUGUGAAAGCCCCGGGCUCAACCUGGGAACGGCAUCCGGAACUGUCAGGCUAGAGUGCAGGAGAGGAAGGUAGAAUUCCCGGUGUAGAGGUGAAAUGCGUAGAGAUCGGGAGGAAUACCAGUGGCGAAGGCGGCCUUCUGGACUGACACUGACGCUGAGGUGCGAAAGCGUGGGUAGCAAACAGGAUUAGAUACCCAGUAGUC